GACGAACGCUGGCGGCGUGCUUAACACAUGCAAGUCGAACGGAGCGAAUGAAAGCUUGCUUUUAUAAGCUUAGUGGCAAACGGGUGAGUAACACGUAGACAACCUGCCGACAGGAUGGGGACAACAUUCCGAAAGGAAUGCUAAUACCGAAUGAAGUGCAGGGGAGGCAUCUCCCCUGCAUGAAAGAUGGCCUCUUUUUAUGCUAUCACCUGUUGAUGGGUCUGCGUCUGAUUAGCUAGUAGGUGAGGUAACGGCUCACCUAGGCGACGAUCAGUAGCCGGUCUGAGAGGAUGAACGGCCACAUUGGGACUGAGACACGGCCCAGACUCCUACGGGAGGCAGCAGUGGGGAAUCUUCCGCAAUGGGCGCAAGCCUGACGGAGCAACGCCGCGUGAGUGAAGAAGGUCUUCGGAUCGUAAAGCUCUGUUGAUGGGGACGAACGUGCCUAAUGCGAAUAGUUUUAGGCAA
Molecule: ribosomal RNA, 468 nt
Filed under: Centipeda noxia
Lineage: Bacteria; Bacillati; Bacillota; Negativicutes; Selenomonadales; Selenomonadaceae
Description: bacterial SSU rRNA
Rfam family: Bacterial small subunit ribosomal RNA
Source: RNAcentral